UGCGGAUGUGGCGGAACUGGCAGACGCGCUGGAUUUAGGUUCCAGUGCCUUCGGGCGUGCAGGUUCGAUUCCUGUCAUCCGCAU
RNAcentral lists this transfer RNA (84 nucleotides) under Weissella viridescens. Its description in RNAcentral is "tRNA-Leu(tag)". It matches the Rfam family "tRNA". From Rfam's summary of the family: Transfer RNA (tRNA) molecules are approximately 80 nucleotides in length. Their secondary structure includes four short double-helical elements and three loops (D, anti-codon, and T loops). The record is from RNAcentral. RNAcentral also lists the same sequence under 2 other names. Lineage: Bacteria; Bacillati; Bacillota; Bacilli; Lactobacillales; Lactobacillaceae.